This 1464-nucleotide ribosomal RNA is filed under the name Salmonella enterica subsp. enterica serovar Bareilly. Its description in RNAcentral is "partial 23S ribosomal RNA". It matches the Rfam family "Bacterial large subunit ribosomal RNA", at positions 711 to 2157 of the family's 2925-position model. Lineage: Bacteria; Pseudomonadati; Pseudomonadota; Gammaproteobacteria; Enterobacterales; Enterobacteriaceae. The record is from RNAcentral.
AGACCCGAAACCCGGUGAUCUAGCCAUGGGCAGGUUGAAGGUUGGGUAACACUAACUGGAGGACCGAACCGACUAAUGUUGAAAAAUUAGCGGAUGACCUGUGGCUGGGGGUGAAAGGCCAAUCAAACCGGGAGAUAGCUGGUUCUCCCCGAAAGCUAUUUAGGUAGCGCCUCGUGAAUUCAUCUCCGGGGGUAGAGCACUGUUUCGGCUAGGGGGCCAUCCCGGCUUACCAACCCGAUGCAAACUGCGAAUACCGGAGAAUGUUAUCACGGGAGACACACGGCGGGUGCUAACGUCCGUCGUGAAGAGGGAAACAACCCAGACCGCCAGCUAAGGUCCCAAAGUCAUGGUUAAGUGGGAAACGAUGUGGGAAGGCCCAGACAGCCAGGAUGUUGGCUUAGAAGCAGCCAUCAUUUAAAGAAAGCGUAAUAGCUCACUGGUCGAGUCGGCCUGCGCGGAAGAUGUAACGGGGCUAAACCAUGCACCGAAGCUGCGGCAGCGACGUUUAUGCGUUGUUGGGUAGGGGAGCGUUCUGUAAGCCUGCGAAGGUGGCCUGUGAGGGUUGCUGGAGGUAUCAGAAGUGCGAAUGCUGACAUAAGUAACGAUAAAGCGGGUGAAAAGCCCGCUCGCCGGAAGACCAAGGGUUCCUGUCCAACGUUAAUCGGGGCAGGGUGAGUCGACCCCUAAGGCGAGGCCGAAAGGCGUAGUCGAUGGGAAACGGGUUAAUAUUCCCGUACUUGGUGUUACUGCGAAGGGGGGACGGAGAAGGCUAUGUUGGCCGGGCGACGGUUGUCCCGGUUUAAGCGUGUAGGCUGGUUUUCCAGGCAAAUCCGGAAAAUCAAGGCUGAGGCGUGACGACGAGGCACUACGGUGCUGAAGCAACAAAUGCCCUGCUUCCAGGAAAAGCCUCUAAGCAUCAGGUAACAUCAAAUCGUACCCCAAACCGACACAGGUGGUCAGGUAGAGAAUACCAAGGCGCUUGAGAGAACUCGGGUGAAGGAACUAGGCAAAAUGGUGCCGUAACUUCGGGAGAAGGCACGCUGACACGUAGGUGAAGUGAUUUACUCAUGGAGCUGAAGUCAGUCGAAGAUACCAGCUGGCUGCAACUGUUUAUUAAAAACACAGCACUGUGCAAACACGAAAGUGGACGUAUACGGUGUGACGCCUGCCCGGUGCCGGAAGGUUAAUUGAUGGGGUCAGCGCAAGCGAAGCUCCUGAUCGAAGCCCCGGUAAACGGCGGCCGUAACUAUAACGGUCCUAAGGUAGCGAAAUUCCUUGUCGGGUAAGUUCCGACCUGCACGAAUGGCGUAAUGAUGGCCAGGCUGUCUCCACCCGAGACUCAGUGAAAUUGAACUCGCUGUGAAGAUGCAGUGUACCCGCGGCAAGACGGAAAGACCCCGUGAACCUUUACUAUAGCUUGACACUGAACAUUGAGCCUUGAUGUGUAGGAUAGGUGGGAGGCUU